Molecule: long non-coding RNA, 453 nt
Organism: Pezoporus flaviventris
Lineage: Eukaryota; Metazoa; Chordata; Aves; Psittaciformes; Psittacidae
Exons: 3
Source: RefSeq, a predicted model, not a curated record
UAAUACCCAAGGACUUUAAACAAAAUAAAUCUACCUCUGAAUGCUGGAGACCAACAUCCUGCUCUAAAAUCCCUGCCUUGUCUUGCCAUAGCAAUCAGAGGAAGGGGUCUUCCCUAUUUAAUGCGAUACCUUAAUUAACCAGACCUCAAGAGCAUCAACAAGCUACCAAACGUUGGGAUGCUUCUGGUUUCUGCCUGUCAGAUGAGGGCUGUAGACAUGCAGCAAACCAACAACAGAUAUUUUGUCUGGACACAGACAAGUCUUACGAAGGUCUUACAGACAAGAGGAUUCUGUGUGUGAGUCCGUGACUGGGACCCAGACACGCAGAUUUGCCAGUCAAUUGAGCCCUUAGCUACAGCUGGAUUAAUCUAUCAACCUAUUAUUCAAACCACGUGUUGCUGGGCACGUCUGUUUUGAUCACCCAGGUGUGACCUGAAGCCUCUAUAACCUUCC